UGCAAGUUCGAGCGGACAGAUGGGAGCUUGCUCCCUGAUGUUAGCGGCGGACGGGUGAGUAACACGUGGGUAACCUGCCUGUAAGACUGGGAUAACUCCGGGAAACCGGGGCUAAUACCGGAUGCUUGAUUGAACCGCAUGGUUCAAUUAUAAAAGGUGGCUUUUAGCUACCACUUACAGAUGGACCCGCGGCGCAUUAGCUAGUUGGUGAGGUAACGGCUCACCAAGGCAACGAUGCGUAGCCGACCUGAGAGGGUGAUCGGCCACACUGGGACUGAGACACGGCCCAGACUCCUACGGGAGGCAGCAGUAGGGAAUCUUCCGCAAUGGACGAAAGUCUGACGGAGCAACGCCGCGUGAGUGAUGAAGGUUUUCGGAUCGUAAAACUCUGUUGUUAGGGAAGAACAAGUACCGUUCGAAUAGGGCGGUACCUUGACGGUACCUAACCAGAAAGCCACGGCUAACUACGUGCCAGCAGCCGCGGUAAUACGUAGGUGGCAAGCGUUGUCCGGAAUUAUUGGGCGUAAAGCGCGCGCAGGCGGUUUCUUAA
Molecule: ribosomal RNA, 550 nt
Filed under: Bacillus sp. (in: firmicutes)
Lineage: Bacteria; Bacillati; Bacillota; Bacilli; Caryophanales; Bacillaceae
Description: bacterial SSU rRNA
Rfam family: Bacterial small subunit ribosomal RNA
Source: RNAcentral